Molecule: long non-coding RNA, 247 nt
Filed under: Glycine max (soybean)
Lineage: Eukaryota; Viridiplantae; Streptophyta; Magnoliopsida; Fabales; Fabaceae
Description: long non-coding RNA (GMAX_LNC004508)
Source: RNAcentral
AAAUGUAAGUUCUAUUCAAUACAGAAGAUAUUCAUCUAAACACCUAUUGACUUAAGCAUCAGAGUCAAUUUGCAGACAUUCACAUCUCACUUACAAUAGGAAGAUGAUGCAGAGGACAUAUAUCAUAUCAUCCAUCAGAAGCCACCACUAACAAGAUCGGUCGAGGUAGAACUCGGUAAGAACACCUAAUAUAUGAUCAUCAAGGCCCUUGUUUAUUUUACAUUCUCAAGGUCUAUUUUCAUUAUGU